AAUCAACGCUGGCGGCGUGCCUCAGACAUGCAAGUCGAACGCGAAAGUCCUCUUCGGGGGAGUGAGUAGAGUGGCGCUCGGGUGAGUAACACGUAGGUAAUCUACCUUUGGGUGGGGAAUAACAGCCGGAAACGGCUGCUAAUACCGCAUAAUGCAGCGGCUCGACAUCGAGACAGUUGUUAAAGCGGGGGAGUUCCGAAAGGAACCUCGCGCCUAAAGAGGAGCCUGCGGCAGAUUAGCUAGUUGGUAAGGUAAUGGCUUACCAAGGCUUCGAUCUGUAGCCGGCCUGAGAGGGCGGUCGGCCACACUGACACUUAAAUACGGGUCAGACUCCUAC
Molecule: ribosomal RNA, 337 nt
Filed under: uncultured bacterium
Lineage: Bacteria
Description: bacterial SSU rRNA
Rfam family: Bacterial small subunit ribosomal RNA
Source: RNAcentral